This 484-nucleotide ribosomal RNA is filed under the name uncultured bacterium. RNAcentral describes it as "partial 16S ribosomal RNA". It matches the Rfam family "Bacterial small subunit ribosomal RNA", at positions 30 to 507 of the family's 1533-position model. The record is from RNAcentral.
AUUGAACGCUGGCGGCAGGCCUAACACAUGCAAGUCGAGCGGAUGAAGGGAGCUUGCUCCUGGAUUCAGCGGCGGACGGGUGAGUAAUGCCUAGGAAUCUGCCUGGUAGUGGGGGAUAACGUCCGGAAACGGGCGCUAAUACCGCAUACGUCCUGAGGGAGAAAGUGGGGGAUCUUCGGACCUCACGCUAUCAUAUGAGCCUAGGUCGGAUUAGCUAGUUGGUGGGGUAAAGGCCUACCAAGGCGACGAUCCGUAACUGGUCUGAGAGGAUGAUCAGUCACACUGGAAGUGAGACACGGUCCAGACGCCUACGGGAGGCAGCAGUGGGGAAUAUUGGACAAAGGGAGAAAGCCUGAUCCAGCCAUGCCGCGUGUGUGAAGAAGGUCUUCGGAUUGUAAAGCAAUUUAAGUUGGGAGGAAGGGCAGUAAGUUAAUACCUUGCUGUUUUGACGUUACAAACAGAAUAAGCACCGGCUAACUUCGUG